This 462-nucleotide ribosomal RNA is filed under the name uncultured bacterium. RNAcentral describes it as "partial 16S ribosomal RNA". It matches the Rfam family "Bacterial small subunit ribosomal RNA", at positions 29 to 507 of the family's 1533-position model. The record is from RNAcentral.
AGUGAACGCUGGCGGCGUGCCUAAUACAUGCCAGUCGAACGGAGAUUAAGUAGCUUGCUAUUUAAUCUUAGUGGCGCACGGGUGAGUAAUAUAUAGCUAACUUGCCCAUUACUAAGGGACAACAGUUGGAAACGACUGCUAAUACCUUAUACUCCGUAUCUAUAUAAGUAGAUACGGGAAAGUUUUUCGGUAAUGGAUAGGGCUAUAUCGUAUCAGCUAGUUGGUAAGGUAAUGGCUUACCAAGGCUAUGACGCGUAACUGGUCUGAGAGGAUGAUCAGUCACACUGGAACUGAGACACGGUCCAGGCUCCUACGGGAGGCAGCAGUAGGGAAUAUUGCUCAAUGGGGGAAACCCUGAAGCAGCAACGCCGCGUGGAGGAUGACACUUUUCGGAGCGUAAACUCCUUUUCUUGGGAAAGAAUUAUGACGGUACCCAAGGAAUAAGCACCGGCUAACUCCGUG